Passer domesticus (house sparrow) is the source of this 738-nucleotide long non-coding RNA. RefSeq lists it as uncharacterized. The transcript has 2 exons. The record is from RefSeq and is a predicted model, not a curated record. Lineage: Eukaryota; Metazoa; Chordata; Aves; Passeriformes; Passeridae.
GGGGCGGCGGGCGCCGCGGCCUGAGGGGGCUGCGGGGCUCUGGGGUCGGUUCGGUUCUGAAAUGGCGAACGGCCUCAGCCGGGGCCCUGGGCAGGGAAAAGCCUUCCCGCUUGGAAGUUUCGUUUGAAAGAGAUGCGGGGCGAGGAGGGCGGAGCUUUGCAGGGAGCGAGUGGGGCAGGAGGAGGCUGGAGCCCGGCUUUGCUUGUCAGGUUUCCGGCAAAGGUUAGCUCCACGCUGUAAGACAGCGCUGUAUGAUCACCGGGCUCUCGGUGUGAGGGAGAUGGUUUUCAAUAACAGCAAGGCAUUGCAGCCAAAACUGGCAAGGGGCUGCGAGAAAGGAACAGCUAGAGAUCUCUGUUAGGAAAAAAAAGGAUGUGGACAAAAUAGUCUGGGAGCUGGGUGCACGGAAACAACAGGACACAGAGCUUCAUCACCAGGAGAAACAGCCCCAGCCUCACUGCCCUCAUCACAGCAGCACAGCUUCGGUGCUGCCACCAGCACAGACCAGUGGCCACCUCUACAGCUCCCCAGGAGACUGCAGAACCUCCAGGCCUGCAAGAGAAACAAGCACCGGGUUUCAUCUGUGAAGCAGCCCAUAAACUCUGCUGUCCAAUGCAGAUGUUUCCAGCAAAUUGCUUUCAGCUGCUUCUUGUCCACCCCUGAACACCAGAUUUCAUGCUUAAGCUAAAAAUAAAAAAGACCUUGAUGCGAGGUUAAAUUAAACAGAGAAUUUGCCCA